GUGGCAGUCCAAGUUCACACAGCCCUGGUCUGCUUGAAGUUGUUUGCAUACAUCAGUAUUUGGGAAACUAAGUUCGGUCCAAGAACAGAAAAUGUUUCCUGGCUACAUGGAGGGUAAAGCAAACGUGAAGUUGCCUCAUACGAGAAGAAUCCAGACAUGAGAAAUCUCAGCCUUUGGUCCAUUAUUUUGUAAAUCUGCUCAAAAGAGCAUGGAUUCACAAGAGAAGUGUCCAGGAGGAGGGUAGUGUCAGCCCCACUGCUCUGUGGGGCAGUAGGACCACAUCUCAGGCACUGGGUCCAGGUCUUGGCAGUCAGGAUGUCUCCAGGGGCUGUUGAGAAAUUGGAGUGCCUCCAGAGGGGAGCAAUGGGGACAGAAGAAUCUGGAAACUGGGUCAAAGAAGGAGCAGUUGAAUGAACAACGUGUGUUGGCCUGAAGAAGAUAAGUUGCAGCGGGGACAAGAAGCUGUUUUCAAAGUUUUCAAAGAUUUGAAGUGCUGUCAGGUGGAAGAGCAGUGAAAAUUGCGUGGCUCCAAACGGUAAAUACAGGACCAAUGAGUACGAGUCAUAGGGACGGUGUCCGCUGAAAAGAAGGAAGCAUUUUAUAAUCAUUAAAGAUGUUCAAAGUAGGUGGUGAUACUUGGUUAUAUAGGAAAUGUUUGUAUGAAGACUAGAUAUAUAUAAAAAUGUUGGAGGAAGAAUUUUUGAGCUUUUUUUUUUUGUCUCACCAAGCAAAUGAAACUUUUUGGAGAGAGAUGACCUAGCAAAAGAUUUUUUCUCUUGGUGAUCAGGAAAGGCAGUCUUUGCAGACCGAACCACUAGAGGGAGUCAGGGCAGCAGCGUUGCAAGGCCGCCGUCCAUUCUCUUCACCGAAGCAGCAACUGAUAGCCAGGCCUGGCUCUCAGGUUCUAAGUUCCCCUGAUUUCAAUAUCACCCCCAUGAAUCUUUCUGGAAUGUUUACAUCUGAUUAAAUUCUUCAAUGUCUGAGAGGCCUCUGUGUGUAGAGAGGCACAAUCACUGCUAUUUGUAGUCUGCUUACAUCUUUAUUAAUUAUUUAAUAAACAGUAUUCUCCUAAAAAUUCAAAUACUCCCUAAACGACUAAAAAUGAAAACUUAUGCAUUUAACAAAUGUGACAUUUUCCAAAUAUCUAAAUAUUAGUUUAUAAACUAAUUGAUUAUCCUAAAUAUAUGUAAUAUAUAGUGUAUAAUAUAUAUAUACUUCUAAAAUCACAAAUAUCCUAUAUCUAAGUCUUUUAAAUGCUACAAAUGCCUUAAAAGCAGAAACACACAAAUGAAUCAUCACAAUGAUACAUAUACAAAGUGAUGAAAUAUAGCUAAAAAGAUUUCCAAGCAAAGUGUUGAAGGUACCACCUGGUUUCUUCUUGGUGCUUAUAGUAAAAUGCAAGAGGAGAGUGAUAAAUCGAGGGAAGAACUGUUAAACAAAAAGGAAUCAAAGAUGAUUCUGAAAAUUCUCAGUCUCUCCAGAUGGCAAAAGAUGUUAAAAUUAAGAAAUCACUUUUGAGCUUGUGGCAUAGAGAUAAGUCCUGGCCUAGAGAAAAAGCUAAGUAGUGAUUGUACAAGCUUUUGUUAAAAUCUCAGGAAGAUUAAGGGAUCAGAGUAGUAUUCAGUCAUACAAAGGGCCCUCUCCAGAGAUUAAUGGUGUAUCUCACAGAACCUCUCAAAUAAUAGGACCUUUUGGAAGCUUAAUUGAGUUAUCUUUCAACCAUCUCAGCAGGAACUCAAGGUAGAAGGGGGCCUAGCUCAAAAAGAACCUUGGAUGUGGCCUUUAUGUAAAGGGAAAUUUACUGGAGACCCACAAAGUAUUUAAGAAAAGUAUUUCAGCAAAAACACUGCCAACUUAAACUGAAAGGGACGGAAAGAGUACAAAAUGAAAGGAGGCUGUUAGAUCUCCAAAAUUCUACUGGCAGGAAGCAGAAUGAUAAAACUACUCAGCUGCAAACAUGUGCUACUUUUCAUGAAAAAAGGAAAGAUGACUCAGAGGGUGGAACCAAGAGCUAUGGUGAAUUAUUCCCAGCCCUUGAAAUCUAAUCAAAGAAUUCUGACUGAAGUUUGCUAGGCUGGGUUUUAAAACUGCUUUGGACUGUAACUCCUUUUUAUCUUCCAUUGCCCACCUCUCCUUCUCUUUUUAACUAGAAAUGUCUAUAACUAUUUUACUAUAUUCAUUCCUUCAUUGUGCAUUAGGAGCAAGACGAUUUGUCUUUAGUUUUAUAGAUUGAGAGGAACUACGCUCAAGGAGCCUCAUGCAUACCUGGACCUGAUUUAAAUGAUGAGAUGCUGGACUUCAAGCAGAUGCUGUAAUGAUAUGAGGUUCUCAGGGACCUUGGGAAAUAGUAAAUGUAUUUUGUGUGUGAGAGGGACACAAAUCAUUGGAGGCCAAAAGGGUGAACUGAGGACAGAUGCUAGGGUAGCUCCCACAAUCCCCACCUCCUGGUUUCACCCUUGUGGGAUCUCGCCAUGAGUGUGGAUGGAACCUGUGAUUUGCUUCUAACUAGUAGAAUUUGGCAAAAAAUGAUGAGAUAUAUGUGAUUAUGUUUACAUGAUUAUAUUAUAUAAGAUUCUGAGUACAUUGAGCUGCAUAGAGAGAGCACGGGGGCAAGUGAGAGCCAGGUGGGUACUGGAAAGCUCUGUGCCUCACUGAGGAAAAAUAACUAAACAUGGGCAAAAGAGAUCCAUGGAACCUGAGAGGCAAGGUGUUAUUAUAUGCAUUCUUUGGCAAACUUGUCAGGAGGCGCAUAAGAAGAAGCACCCAGAUGGUUCAGUCAACUUCUCAGUUUUCUAGGAAGUGCUCAGAGAGGUGCAAGACCAUGUCUGCUAAAGAGAAAGGGAAAUUUGAAGACAUGGCAAAGGCGAACAAGGCUCGUUAUGAAAGACAGAUGAAAACCUAUAUCCCUCCUAAAGAUCCCCUUUAGGACGAAAAAGUAGUUCAAGGAUCCCAAUGCACCCAAGAGGCAUUCUUUGGCUGUUUUCUUGUUCUGUUCUGAGUAUUGCCCGAAAAUCAAAGGAGAACAUCCUGGCCUAUCCAUUGGUGAGUUGUAAAGAAAUUGGAAGAGAUGUGGAAGGGCACUGCCUCAGAUGAUAAGCAGCCUUAUGAAAAGAAGGCUGUGAAGCUGAAGGAAAAAUAUGAAAAGGAUAUUGCCUCAUACUGAGCUAAAGGAAAGCCUGAUGCAGCAAAAAAGGGAGUUGUCACGGCUAAAAAAAGCAAAAAAAGGAAGAAGAGGAAGAUGAAGAUGAUGAUGAUGAUGAUAAUGAGUAAGUUGGUUCUAGCACAGUUUUUUUUCUUGUCUAGAAAGCAUUUAAACCCCCUGUUUACAACUCCUUUUAAAGAAAGACAUUGAGAUGUAAGGCUGUGUAACAUUUGUUUUUAAACUGCACAGUGUCUUUUUUGUAUAGUUAACACACUACUGAAUGUGGCUUUAGAUAGCCCUGUCCUGGUGUAUUUUCAAUGGGCACUAACCUUGCCUGAUACAGUAUGGGGGUUGUAAACUGGCAAGGAAAUUUAAAGCAGGUUCUUCUUAGUGCACAGCACAAAUUAGUUAUACAUGGGGAUGGUAGAUUUUUUAUUUUCACUUGUCUCUGAUGCAGCUUAUAUGAAAUAAUUGUUGUUUUGUUAACUGAAUACCACUCUGUAAUUGCAAAAAAAAAAGUGGCAGCUGUUUUGUUGACAUUCUGAAUUCUGAAUGCUUCUAAGUAAAUACAAUUUUUUUAUUAGUAAAAAAAUGUUCUAAUCCAUCUUUCCAGGAGAUUCUCUCUCCCUUGCUGUCUUUGAAAAAGCAAGUUGCCAUGUGAAGAGGGCCAUAUAGCAUAGGAGCUGAAGGCAGCCUCCAACUGACGGCAAGAAAAUGAGGUCCUCAGUCUGACAACCUGCAAGAAACUGAAUGUUCUAAAAGCCACAUGAGCUUGGGAGCAGAUCUGACCCCAGCCAAAUCUCUGAAGUCCGCAGGCAGGAAAUGAAGAUCAGAAAAAGGCUAUUGUCUCAUGAAUAUGAGCCAGACUCCACAGAAGCUGGAGUCCUUCAUUAUGGAGCUAAACACAUACACCUGGCUUAGGAGUCAGAAAAACUGAAAGAGAAUUCAGGGAAGUAGAGAAAUUGCAAGCCCAGAUGCUGCUUCAUACCAAAGAAGCAAGUCAGCAGGUCAGCAACAAUGUGUAUCAGUUCCAAAAUGACUUACACAGCUAGCUGAAAGCAGAGAACCCAGCAGAGGAUUCUGGGAAGGUCCUGGGGGAUGGCAGAGCCAGCAGAGAGAGGGUAUGGAUCCACCAGGCAUAGGAUGGAACAGAG
RNAcentral lists this long non-coding RNA (4296 nucleotides) under Homo sapiens (human). RNAcentral describes it as "ZBED3 antisense RNA 1". Lineage: Eukaryota; Metazoa; Chordata; Mammalia; Primates; Hominidae. The record is from RNAcentral.